This 335-nucleotide unclassified non-coding RNA is filed under the name Hevea brasiliensis (rubber tree). Lineage: Eukaryota; Viridiplantae; Streptophyta; Magnoliopsida; Malpighiales; Euphorbiaceae. The record is from RNAcentral.
CGGAUUCCGACGGUUGAUGUUCCGCCGUGGUCGUACUCCGAUGAUCAAACGGCGAACAUGCAGUUCAUGUUAAGCCCUAGUACAAAUUCCAUUUCUACCCCUAAUAAUUUCAAUUUCAGUAACUUUAUUGUUGAAGAUGAUUAUCCUCUGUUUUGUAACGAUGCUGAAGAUAUCGAUGAAUUUGAGUUGGAAAAUCGUGAAAUUGAACUUCCGGUUGAUGUUUACGCUUGCGAUAAUUUUAGGAUGUAUGAAUUUAAAGUGAGGAGAUGUGGACGUGGUAGGUCACACGAUUGGACGGAAUGUCCAUACGUUCAUCCCGGUGAGAAAGCUCGCCG